GUGACCAUUAAUACCAACUCAAAUGUACCGCAUCUCAUUUGACCUGGAAAGUUAAAUGAGUUUUGGCAAGAGUACUACUAAGAUAAGUGACCUGUGCGAGAAGUCCUCGCAUGCUUUCCU
RNAcentral lists this ribosomal RNA (120 nucleotides) under Malus domestica (apple). The record is from RNAcentral. Lineage: Eukaryota; Viridiplantae; Streptophyta; Magnoliopsida; Rosales; Rosaceae.